AGAGGUGUGGCUCAAGUGGUAGAGUGCUUGCCUAAUAAGCAUGAGACUCUGAGUUCAGUCCCAAGUACCACUA
This 73-nucleotide transfer RNA is filed under the name Dipodomys ordii (Ord's kangaroo rat). It matches the Rfam family "tRNA". From Rfam's summary of the family: Transfer RNA (tRNA) molecules are approximately 80 nucleotides in length. Their secondary structure includes four short double-helical elements and three loops (D, anti-codon, and T loops). Further hydrogen bonds mediate the characteristic L-shaped molecular structure. tRNAs have two regions of fundamental functional importance: the anti-codon, which is responsible for specific mRNA codon recognition, and the 3' end, to which the tRNAs corresponding amino acid is attached (by aminoacyl-tRNA synthetases). tRNAs cope with the degeneracy of the genetic code in two manners: having more than one tRNA (with a specific anti-codon) for a particular amino acid; and 'wobble' base-pairing, i.e. permitting non-standard base-pairing at the 3rd anti-codon position. Lineage: Eukaryota; Metazoa; Chordata; Mammalia; Rodentia; Heteromyidae. The record is from Rfam by way of RNAcentral.